Molecule: ribosomal RNA, 490 nt
Filed under: uncultured bacterium
Lineage: Bacteria
Description: partial 16S ribosomal RNA
Rfam family: Bacterial small subunit ribosomal RNA
Source: RNAcentral
GAUGAACGCUAGCGAUAGGCUUAACACAUGCAAGUCGAGGGGCAGCAUGGUCUUAGCUUGCUAAGACUGAUGGCGACCGGCGCACGGGUGCGUAACGCGUAUGCAACUUGCCUCACAGAGGGGGAUAACCCGUCGAAAGACGGACUAAUACCGCGUACACUCCAUCUUGGGCAUCCAAGGUAGAGGAAAUGAAAUUCGCUGUGAGAUAGGCAUGCGUCCCAUUAGCUAGUUGGUGAGGUAACGGCUCACCAAGGCGACGAUGGGUAGGGGAACUGAGAGGUUGAACCCCCACACUGGUACUGAGACACGGACCAGACUCCUACGGGAGGCAGCAGUGAGGAAUAUUGGUCAAUGGGCGAGAGCCUGAACCAGCCAAGUCGCGUGAAGGAUGACUGUCUUAUGGAUUGCAAACUUCUUUUAUACGGGAAUAACAAGAGUCACGUGUGACUCCCUGCAUGUACCGUAUGAAUAAGCAUCGGCUAACUCCGUG